UCGUCAAGUUAGGGGUGAAACCCACACCUUGUCGAUUAAGUCCCAUUCCUCGAUUUUUGAUCUCGCCAAAGUUUCGAUUGUUUCAAUCGAUUAGAGACGUGGUUUAUGCAGAAUCACUUGGGUUAAUUGGAAGGGUAAGAUACCGUUAAUCGCUUCUCGACGAGAGUAUCUUAUCUAUAGGCCAAAGCACGUUUCUCUAAUUUGAAAGGACUUUCGGUUCACUUUGGAAUAGUCGACGUUUCUAAACCCGAAACAAUCCUAUGUUUUAUGAGCCUCUCUUUUAUGUGACUCAAUUUCUAUGUGAUUUUUAUACUUGUUACCUCGUUCAUUUCAAAACCGUUACACAUUUCGCACGUCU
This 358-nucleotide long non-coding RNA is filed under the name Helianthus annuus (common sunflower). RNAcentral's name for it is "hypothetical non coding rna". Lineage: Eukaryota; Viridiplantae; Streptophyta; Magnoliopsida; Asterales; Asteraceae. The record is from RNAcentral.